RNAcentral lists this ribosomal RNA (253 nucleotides) under uncultured bacterium. RNAcentral's name for it is "partial 16S ribosomal RNA". It matches the Rfam family "Bacterial small subunit ribosomal RNA", at positions 524 to 776 of the family's 1533-position model. The record is from RNAcentral.
UACGUAGGGUGCAAGCGUUAAUCGGAAUUACUGGGCGUAAAGCGUGCGCAGGCGGUUGGGCAAGACAGAUGGGAAAUCCCCGGGCUUAACCUGGGAACUGCAUUUGUGACUGCACAGCUGGAGUGCGGCAGAGGGGGAUGGAAUUCCGCGUGUAGCAGUGAAAUGCGUAGAUAUGCGGAGGAACACCGAUGGCGAAGGCAAUCCCCUGGGCCUGCACUGACGCUCAUGCACGAAAGCGUGGGGAGCAAACAGG